This 66-nucleotide transfer RNA is filed under the name Cottus amblystomopsis (Sakhalin sculpin). RNAcentral's name for it is "tRNA-Cys". Lineage: Eukaryota; Metazoa; Chordata; Actinopteri; Perciformes; Cottidae. The record is from RNAcentral.
AGCCCCAAGGUGUCCAACAUAUAAGAUUGCAAAUCUUAAGAGGCAGAAUAACUACUGCUGGGGCUU